GACGAACGCUGGCGGCGUGCUUAACACAUGCAAGUCGAACGACGAAGCUGGAGCUUGCUCCGGUGGAUUAGUGGCGAACGGGUGAGUAACACGUGAGCAAUCUGCCCUUGACUCUGGGAUAACUGCGGGAAACUGUAGCUAAUACCGGAUAUGAGGCUCGAAGGCAUCUUCGGGUCUGGAAAGAAUUUCGGUCAAGGAUGAGCUCGCGGCCUAUCAGCUUGUUGGUGAGGUAAUGGCUCACCAAGGCGACGACGGGUAGCCGGCCUGAGAGGGUGACCGGCCACACUGGGACUGAGACACGGCCCAGACUCCUACGGGAGGCAGCAGUGGGGAAUAUUGCACAAUGGGCGAAAGUCUGAUGCAGCAACGCCGCGUGAGGGAUGAAGGCCUUCGGGUUGUAAACCUCUUUUAGCAGGGAAGAAGCGAAAGUGACGGUACCUGCAGAAAAAGCACCGGCUAACUACGUGCCAGCCGCCGCCGUAA
RNAcentral lists this ribosomal RNA (483 nucleotides) under uncultured bacterium. RNAcentral's name for it is "partial 16S ribosomal RNA". It matches the Rfam family "Bacterial small subunit ribosomal RNA", at positions 28 to 523 of the family's 1533-position model. The record is from RNAcentral.